This 1365-nucleotide ribosomal RNA is filed under the name uncultured bacterium. Its description in RNAcentral is "bacterial SSU rRNA". It matches the Rfam family "Bacterial small subunit ribosomal RNA", at positions 28 to 1381 of the family's 1533-position model. The record is from RNAcentral.
GACGAACGCUGGCGGCGUGCUUAACACAUGCAAGUCGAACGGAAAGGCCCUCACCUUGGUGGGGGUGCUCGAGUGGCGAACGGGUGAGUAACACGUGGGUGAUCUGCCCUGUACUUCGGGAUAAGCUUGGGAAACUGGGUCUAAUACCGGAUAGGACCAUGGUUUAGUGUCUCAUGGUGGAAAAAUUAUUGUUUUGGUGCAGGAUGAGCUCGCGGCCUAUCAGCUUGUUGGUGGGGUAAUGGCCUACCAAGGCGUCGACGGGUAGCCGGCCUGAGAGGGUGGACGGCCACAUUGGGACUGAGAUACGGCCCAGACUCCUACGGGAGGCAGCAGUGGGGAAUAUUGCACAAUGGGCGCAAGCCUGAUGCAGCGACGCCGCGUGGGGGAUGACGGCCUUCGGGUUGUAAACUCCUUUCGUUAGGGACGAAGCCACACUUUUUUUGGGUGUGGUGACGGUACCUUUGUUAAGAAGCACCGGCUAACUACGUGCCAGCAGCCGCGGUAAUACGUAGGGUGCGAGCGUUGUCCGGAAUUACUGGGCGUAAAGAGCUCGUAGGUGGUUUGUUGCGUCGUCUGUGAAAUUCCGGGGCUUAACUUCGGGGUGGCAGGCGAUACGGGCAUAACUAGAGUGCUGUAGGGGAGACUGGAAUUCCUGGUGUAGCGGUGGAAUGCGCAGAUAUCAGGAGGAACACCGAUGGCGAAGGCAGGUCUCUGGGCAGUAACUGACGCUGAGGAGCGAAAGCAUGGGGAGCGAACAGGAUUAGAUACCCUGGUAGUCCAUGCUGUAAACGGUGGGCGUUAGGUGUGGGGACCGGUUUGGUUUCUGUGCCGUAGCUAACGCAUUAAGCGCCCCGCCUGGGGAGUACGGCCGCAAGGCUAAAACUCAAAGGAAUUGACGGGGGCCCGCACAAGCGGCGGAGCAUGUGGAUUAAUUCGAUGCAACGCGAAGAACCUUACCUGGGUUUGACAUGCACCAGACGGUUGUAGAGAUACGUACCUCCCUUUGUGGUUGGUGUGCAGGUGGUGCAUGGUUGUCGUCAGCUCGUGUCGUGAGAUGUUGGGUUAAGUCCCGCAACGAGCGCAACCCUUGUCUCAUGUUGCCAGCACGUUUGGGUGGGGACUCAUGAGAGACUGCCGGGGUUAACUCGGAGGAAGGUGGGGAUGACGUCAAAUCAUCAUGCCCUUUAUGCCCAGGGCUUCACACAUGCUACAAUGGUUAGUACAACGCGCGGCGAGCCUGUGAGGGUGAGCGAAUCGCUGAAAGCUAAUCUCAGUUCGGAUUGGGGUCUGCAACUCGACCCCAUGAAGUCGGAGUCGCUAGUAAUCGCAGAUCAGCAAUGCUGCGGUGAAUACGUUCCCGGGCCU